UGGAAAUAAAACAUGGUCAACGG
RNAcentral lists this non-coding RNA (23 nucleotides) under Arabidopsis thaliana (thale cress). The record is from RNAcentral. Lineage: Eukaryota; Viridiplantae; Streptophyta; Magnoliopsida; Brassicales; Brassicaceae.